UCUCUGGUGGCUCAGAGGGUAAAGAAUCUGCCUACAGUGCAGGAGACCUGGGUUUGAUCCCUGGCUUGGGAA
RNAcentral lists this transfer RNA (72 nucleotides) under Bos taurus (domestic cattle). It matches the Rfam family "tRNA". From Rfam's summary of the family: Transfer RNA (tRNA) molecules are approximately 80 nucleotides in length. Their secondary structure includes four short double-helical elements and three loops (D, anti-codon, and T loops). Lineage: Eukaryota; Metazoa; Chordata; Mammalia; Artiodactyla; Bovidae. The record is from Rfam by way of RNAcentral. RNAcentral also lists the same sequence under 2 other names.